This 250-nucleotide ribosomal RNA is filed under the name uncultured bacterium. RNAcentral describes it as "partial 16S ribosomal RNA". It matches the Rfam family "Bacterial small subunit ribosomal RNA", at positions 524 to 774 of the family's 1533-position model. The record is from RNAcentral.
UACGUAGGGGGCGAGCGUUGUCCGGAAUUAUUGGGCGUAAAGCGCGCGCAGGCGGUCCUUUAAGUCAGGAGUUUAAGCCCGGGGCUCAACCCCGGUACGCUUCUGAAACUGGGGGACUUGAGUGCAGGAGAGGAGAGCGGAAUUCCACGUGUAGCGGUGAAAUGCGUAGAGAUGUGGAGGAACACCAGUGGCGAAGGCGGCUCUCUGGCCUGUAACUGACGCUGAGGCGCGAAAGCGUGGGGAGCAAACA